RNAcentral lists this long non-coding RNA (429 nucleotides) under Manihot esculenta (cassava). Its description in RNAcentral is "long non-coding RNA (MESC_LNC007285)". Lineage: Eukaryota; Viridiplantae; Streptophyta; Magnoliopsida; Malpighiales; Euphorbiaceae. The record is from RNAcentral.
UCUACAUAGUCCAACUGUGCCAAAACGUAGAAUGGGUCCUGGUCUUUCUCUUACAUGGCAUAACAUAACAGUCCAACUGUGCCAGAACGUAGAAUGGGUCCUGGUCUUCCUCUUACAUAGUGCCAGCGAACGUAGAAUGGGUCCCACUGGUCUUACUUUCCAUACCGUACAUAUCAUAUCGUCACAUCAUAGGUCGAGGACUAUGGAUCAUCCAACAUUCAUCCACAUCAACAACAAUUUAUGCAAUGCAACAUAUUCGUGAAUUCUAAUGCAACAACCUAGUAUAUCUCAUGGCAUUAAUGAUGCGUGAGUCAUGCUAAAAAUGUCCAUUUGUUUGCUUUAAAAUGUAAUAAGUUAUUCCACUCACCUCUGGAUAGCUCUGACCAGACACUGGAGCAGCUGACUCACUGCUGGGGUCCUCGGUUCCUC